UGCUUAAUUUGUACUUGCAUGUAAAUGCUAUUAUAAUAUGACGAGCUGUUCGAGUGUUUCUAGACAAUAUAGUGGGUCACUAGGUUGCUGCGAUGUCCUAGUGAGUCACUCGAAUUUUCUGGACAGCCUAUAACGGACUAUUUUCACUCGCUUGGUAAGCCAUCUUAUGUUAUUGAAUCAACGCUUCAUCGACGUACUGAUAUAUUUACAUCAACUGUUUCCAAACUUCUUUCAUGAACUAUGAACCUGUUGACGAACCCGCGAUUCUAACAAUCACUGCACUGUUAUGGAACAGAGAUUAUUUAAUAUUUCAAAUCGUUAAAUUCAGAAGAUGUACAUUUGGAUACUCAUUGCAAUUGUCACCGGAGUAACCAUCGCUGUUAUGCUCUCUCUACUUUUCAUGAUACUCAGUUUCUCCACAAAGUCAUGGCUGGACAAUAGAGAACAUUACAGCGAAGAGCAAUUCGUACCAGUAAGAGAAGAUAGAAAUACUGUAAUAACAGAUCCCUAUUCAGGAAAAUUGAUGAAUCUAGAACGAGGGAGCACCGCCAGCUCACUGCGAAGCACGAAAAGUAUUGGAUUCAUCGCUUAUGACAAUCAGUCUGAUACCGCAAGUCAGGGUGCAGGAAGAGCAACGUUUCAUACAGGGAGCAUCAAGAGCGUGAGAUCAAAUAGAUCGAUAAUAUCCACACCAACUGGAUCCAUUAAUCGAGAAAUGAAGUACUUAAACGUCAACCCUUUGUUCAAAGAAGACCCUAAAUCCGACGAGCCGCGAUUAAAUAAGAGUACCAAAAUGCGUGCCAUGGAACUAAUGUUUGAAUAGAGUUGCAUCAACAGAAAAAAACAUAAACUAUGAUAAUUUAUUGUAUAAUUUAUUUAAUCAUUCAUUCUACAUUCUAUAUACCCAGGUAGGUUUUUUAAGUAAAGACAUGUAAGAGAGUUUAAGCCUCACGUUAUACAUGAAACGGCAAACUUCAAGCAUGCAAAGAAAAAGUUAAAGCUAAACGAAUAAAGGGCAAAUGUUUUAAAACUCAAGGAGCAAUGAAUGUUUUCCGAAAAGAAAAUAUGAAACGAAGAGGAUGAACGAAAAUUCUGCAUAGAAAGUUCGGCCUUGCUGUUUGCCGAAAACACAGAGCUUAAACUCCUUAAAGCGUUAUCCGGUCUGCAUGGGACGCUGGAAGGAUACACGAGAAAUGAGCUCGAGGUGGGGGUGUUUUUGCCAAACAUCGACAGUUAACUUCGUCUUAUCGUGUUUCUCUUCGUUAGAUGAAUCUGUUAGCUGCAUUUUAAAUUGCCAAAUGCAAAUUUUAUUUAAGAAUUGAAAUGCACUUCAGUAUGAAUAUAUAAGAGUAUACUGCCUUAUGUGUUACAAAUGACUGAUUGUGACUCCACGACUUGCGGGGAGAACAAUAUAUGUUUAUAUUUUACGCAAAUGUAUAUAGUUGGAAAUUGUACAAGUCAUGCAGGACGGGUAGCUUUUAUGCCAGAAUUAUUGGUAGUGAGGCUGUAUAUAUGAAACAUAUAGGCCUCCGGCAGGAAUCGAACCUAUACGUAUUAGUACGCUAUUGCGAAAGCCAUCACAAUGACAGUACUUUAACUUAGACAGUUAACCGAUCGUCUAUGACCUCAUACGAUACAGCAAUAGCAUGCGCAAUAUAUUACUCAUAGAACAUGCACUUGCAUGUCCAUGGACAAUAAAGACACAUUAACAUACAGUGAUGCAAUUUGACAUAUACUUGAAAUAUUCCAAAGAUUGAAGUAUUACCUAUCUAUAAACUAACAAUAAUAUAUGUAUAUAUAUCUAACCUAUAUAAAAUUAACCAUCAGGCAUGCAUGCACUAAUGUAUAUCUGUAAUACUAUAAUGUAUAAAUGUUUUUUUUGUUAUUUUUAUCCCUUGAAAGUUAUUACGAAUUAAU
Molecule: unclassified non-coding RNA, 1917 nt
Filed under: Dendronephthya gigantea
Lineage: Eukaryota; Metazoa; Cnidaria; Anthozoa; Malacalcyonacea; Nephtheidae
Description: uncharacterized LOC114524440, transcript variant X2
Source: RNAcentral